This 305-nucleotide ribosomal RNA is filed under the name uncultured bacterium. RNAcentral describes it as "bacterial SSU rRNA". It matches the Rfam family "Bacterial small subunit ribosomal RNA", at positions 337 to 638 of the family's 1533-position model. The record is from RNAcentral.
CCCUACGGGAGGCAGCAGUGAGAAAUAUUGGUCAAUGGCCGAGAGGCUGAACCAGCCAAGUCGCGUGAGGGAUGACGGCCCUACGGGUUGUAAACCUCUUUUGUCGGGGAGCAAGACCCGCCUCGUGCAGGCGGAGCGAGAGUACCCGAAGAAAAAGCAUCGGCUAACUCCGUGCCAGCAGCCGCGGUGAUACGGAGGAUGCGAGCGUUAUCCGGAUUUACUGGGUGUAAAGGGAGCGUAGACGGUUAUGCAAGUCUGAAGUGAAAGCCCAAGGCUCAACCAUGGGACUGCUUUGGAAACUGUAA